RNAcentral lists this ribosomal RNA (96 nucleotides) under uncultured archaeon. Its description in RNAcentral is "partial 16S ribosomal RNA". The record is from RNAcentral.
CUCCCCGUUGCUGACCCCAGGUUCGAUAGCGCCAAUUAGGCGCCACCUCGCCAAAGAACCAGCUUCGGUGAAGCGACGGGCGGUGUGUGCAAGGAG